UCGUCAAGUCAAGCAAUAGGUUAUAUUUCCAUUCACCACUUCCUCAAUUAUCCGAAAAACCACAAUCCAAAGCAAACUAUAGCAGAAGAAAUCAGUCACCUUUUUUUUAUCAAUGAUGGUAGCAUACCUAAGAGACGUACGUCCCUAAAAAACAGUUUGGAGGGUCCAAGUCAAAGUUUGGAGACUCUUGAAUGUAUUUUCGCUGAUGAUAAAGUUAAUAUCACCUACUUCCUAUUUUGUUUAUCGCUAAUAUUUGUUGUCUCUUAUGUUUCAAGGUGUUAAAAUGGAACAGUCGUUACAAGCACUCACCCUGUCUCAGACUCAAACUACUUAACCUUGAGUAAGUUUCAAAACAUUCAGUGUGGUGAUCUAAAUAAACAAAAAUGAUAUGCAAGACUUCAAGUAAAUACCUCUUCUGAGAUACUCGAGAGGAGUGAAUGCCAGAUUGAUACUGUAAUUCAUUCGUCUCUACUAUUUUUCAUCAGAUCAAAGCAC
This 495-nucleotide long non-coding RNA is filed under the name Capsella rubella. RNAcentral describes it as "long non-coding RNA (CRUB_LNC003629)". The record is from RNAcentral. Lineage: Eukaryota; Viridiplantae; Streptophyta; Magnoliopsida; Brassicales; Brassicaceae.